UACGGAGGGGGCUAGCGUUGUUCGGAAUUACUGGGCGUAAAGCGCACGUAGGUGGAUUGCUAAGUCAGGGGUGAAAUCCCGAGGCUCAACCUCGGAACUGCCUUUGAUACUGGCAAUCUCGAGUCCGGGAGAGGUGAGUGGAAUUCCUAGUGUAGGGGUGAAAUUCGUAGAUAUUAGGAAGAACCCCAGUGGCGAAGGCGGCUCACUGGCCCGGUACUGACACUGUGGUGCGACAGCGUGGGGAGCAAACAGG
Molecule: ribosomal RNA, 253 nt
Filed under: uncultured bacterium
Lineage: Bacteria
Description: partial 16S ribosomal RNA
Rfam family: Bacterial small subunit ribosomal RNA
Source: RNAcentral